Molecule: long non-coding RNA, 1052 nt
Organism: Pectinophora gossypiella (pink bollworm)
Lineage: Eukaryota; Metazoa; Arthropoda; Insecta; Lepidoptera; Gelechiidae
Exons: 3
Source: RefSeq, a predicted model, not a curated record
UUACGUCGGAACUACGUCGAGUAUGGAGCUUGUUGAGGGGUUGAACGUUCUCGUUUUUAUUAACGCCAUCUAUAAUUAUGUGUAAGAAGCUCGCUUAAAGUUGCGCCAUCUAUCGUUAAUUAUUGCAACAUCGAUCUAGCUUUGCCACAGAUAAUAAAAUAUUACGUUUUUAAAAGAUUGUGUUUAUUUGCAAAAUACAUUUUAUUGAAUUAAUUAAAUGUUUAGUUGUAAUUCUCAUAAAUUACGGGAGAUACAAUAUCAAAUUUAAAAAAAAAAUAUAACCUGUAUAAAUAUCAUUUAAAACUAAAUUUGAGAACAAAAAAAAAACGCAACUUUCAAAUAACGUAGGUAGGUUAGUAACCUACCUAUGUUUGAAAAUGUUUGUUUUCGUUUGAAUUACGAGUCGAACGCGCCUUCUACGUUUUGUGUAUUGUGGCAAUUACCGUGAUUGUGGUUUACAAACUAACCCUGGACUGAAAUCGGACUUUGAUUUGGCUUCAUGAAACCUGCUUUCACGUAGCGGCACAGGAACAGUGGUUAUAAAAAAUGUCUGCACACAAUUUGUUCUUAUUAUAAUUGUACAAAUUCUUCGGAACAGAAGUCAAUGUUCCGUUUUCCGUGGGAUGACGUCAACCGCCUAAAAGUAUGGCUUGAGAAUUGCGGUAAUAUGAACAUUGCCCACUUGCCUGCAGAAAAUUUGCGGUCAAGGUAUUUAUGCAUUGACCAUUUCAAUAUCAAGUAUGUACGAAAUGAGACUGGUCAUAGAAAAAGACUCCAGAGAAGUGCAGUUCCAGAACCAUAUCAGACUCAAGACGUUCAAAAUCGCUGAAGCACUUCCUCACCAGGUUCAUCAGGUACUUUUAAAGUACUGACACCGAAAAAGGUGUACAAAAAUAAACGGCUUCGCGACUGCGAACUUGAAGAGCUCGUGGAGCCGCCAGCAGUAGCAUACCAGUGCAACACGCCGAAGAGAAGACGGUUGUCAAUUACUGAAGACACGCCAAAAUGCAAAGUGUUAAAAAAGAAAUUAGUAUUGUAUCUAACAAUAACAA